RNAcentral lists this ribosomal RNA (545 nucleotides) under uncultured bacterium. RNAcentral describes it as "bacterial SSU rRNA". It matches the Rfam family "Bacterial small subunit ribosomal RNA", at positions 358 to 917 of the family's 1533-position model. The record is from RNAcentral.
GGAAUUUUCCGCAAUGGGCGAAAGCCUGACGGAGCAACGCCGCGUGAGGGAUGAAGGCCUCUGGGCUGUGAACCUCUUUUAUCAAGGAAGAAGAUCUGACGGUACUUGAUGAAUAAGCCACGGCUAAUUCCGUGCCAGCAGCCGCGGUAAUACGGGAGUGGCAAGCGUUAUCCGGAAUUAUUGGGCGUAAAGCGUCCGCAGGCGGUCUUGUAAGUCUGUCGUUAAAGCGUGGAGCUUAACUCCAUUUAAGCGAUGGAAACUGCAAGACUAGAGUGUGGUAGGGGCAGAGGGAAUUCCCGGUGUAGCGGUGAAAUGCGUAGAUAUCGGGAAGAACACCAGUGGCGAAGGCGCUCUGCUGGGCCAUAACUGACGCUCAUGGACGAAAGCCAGGGGAGCGAAAGGGAUUAGAUACCCCUGUAGUCCUGGCCGUAAACGAUGAACACUAGGUGUCGGGGGAAUCGACCCCCUCGGUGUCGUAGCCAACGCGUUAAGUGUUCCGCCUGGGGAGUACGCACGCAAGUGUGAAACUCAAAUGAAUUGACGGA